Molecule: long non-coding RNA, 191 nt
Filed under: Ficedula albicollis (Collared flycatcher)
Lineage: Eukaryota; Metazoa; Chordata; Aves; Passeriformes; Muscicapidae
Description: lncRNA (ENSFALG00000023859.1)
Source: RNAcentral
ACCAGUAUGAGUUUGGCCCUAUUAUGGUAACUUAUGGGGUGAAUCAUUCCAUGUCAUGUGUUCUUCCCUUUCCCUCCAGACCCCACUGCAGAGCAGAAACCCCAGCUCAGCAGGAUUUUCCCUGUUGUGAUGGCACAGGAAGAGCUCUUUCCAUGCAAACAGCCACCUCUCCUGGCAUUGCUGGUUGUUGA